RNAcentral lists this ribosomal RNA (492 nucleotides) under uncultured bacterium. RNAcentral describes it as "partial 16S ribosomal RNA". It matches the Rfam family "Bacterial small subunit ribosomal RNA", at positions 29 to 507 of the family's 1533-position model. The record is from RNAcentral.
AGUGAACGCUGGCGGUAGGCCUAACACAUGCAAGUCGAACGGCAGCACAGUAAGAUCUUGCUCUUACGGGUGGCGAGUGGCGGACGGGUGAGGAAUACAUCGGAAUCUACUUUUUCGUGGGGGAUAACGUAGGGAAACUUACGCUAAUACCGCAUACGACCUACGGGUGAAAGCAGGGGAUCUUCGGACCUUGCGCGAUUGAAUGAGCCGAUGUCGGAUUAGCUAGUUGGCGGGGUAAAGGCCCACCAAGGCGACGAUCCGUAGCUGGUCUGAGAGGAUGAUCAGCAACACUGGAACUGAGACACGGUCCAGACUACUACGGGAGGCAGCAGUGGGGAAUAUUGGACAAUGGGCGCAAGCCUGAUCCAGCCAUACCGCGUGGGUGAAGAAGGCCUUCGGGUUGUAAAGCCCUUUUGUUGGGAAAGAAAAGCAGCAGGUUAAUACCCCGCUGUUCUGACGGUACCCAAAGAAUAAGCACCGGCUAACUUCGUG